RNAcentral lists this long non-coding RNA (1090 nucleotides) under Lathyrus oleraceus (garden pea). Its description in RNAcentral is "Pisum sativum (pea) long non-coding RNA (PSAT_LNC010704)". Lineage: Eukaryota; Viridiplantae; Streptophyta; Magnoliopsida; Fabales; Fabaceae. The record is from RNAcentral.
AAUCCAGAUUUGCUUUCUCCAUCAAGAUUAGAUUUCUUGGUUCAAGUCUCAUCCAGUCUUUGCAAAGAAAAGGCUAUUUCUCCAGAAGAUACAUCGUUCUUAUUAGAUAAAUCAAAAAUUACUUGCCUCUUUAUCUGCUACUUCCAGCCAUAAAGAAUUCUUGAACAGAAUUAAAGAAGCUAUGACUGCUUUAUCUGAAAGUGAUAGUGCUUCUAGCACUUCUAAAAUAAUAAUGAAGAUGAUUGUUAUGGAAUCAUAGACCUCUAAAUUAUGUUGAAGAUAAGUUCAAUUAUGAUGAAGAUAAGAUUUUGAAGAAUCCUCUUGUCAGAAUUAUUUUUGAAGAUAAAAUCAAUUAUGAUAAAGAUAAGAAGUUCAAGACAACCACGCCCCUUUGUUGUCCUCAAUUACCUUCCACUCAGAAUUACUUUUGAAUUAUUGACUCUACUUUAUUAAAGUUUUUGUUUUAUUUCAAUUAUUCAGACCAUGUGGGUCAUUACAUUAUAAAGUUUUUGUUUUUAUUUCAAUUAUUCAGACCAUGUGGGUCAUUACUUUGUAUAAAGUUUAUGCUUAGUUUAAUUUAGUUUGAAGUCCGUGUGGAUCCUUGCCUAUAAAAGGAUCAUUUGUGUGUUGUGAAAGGCAUUCGAGUUUUCAGUCUUAAAACUUGGAAAUCUUGAUUGCCAUCCUUUGUAAGUAUUUUUCAUAAAUAAAAGCAAGUCUUUUAAUAUCUUCAACAUGUAUUCCAUGUCUUCCGCAUAUUAUCUUACUCUUACAAUUUUGAUUAUCAAUAAUAUCUUUAUCUUAACUAAUAUUUUCACCAUUAUUAUCAUUAUUAUUAUUAUUUUAGGGCCCCUACUGCUCUGGUAUCAGAGCCAGGUUGGGUGGUGACUAUUGACUUGCAUUAUCUUUUAUUAGAUUUCUACUAUAUAUAUAUAUAUAUAUUAGAGAGAGAGAGAGAGAGAGAGGAUUGGGCUACAGUUUACAAAGGUAGAAUCAGUGUAACAAUAUGUUACCCCAGUCAGAAUCAAACAUUCCUCUAAUAGGGGAUUGGGCUACAGUGUGACAAUAGCCCACUUAUUACAAAUAUUUUAUC